Molecule: non-coding RNA, 153 nt
Filed under: Chlorocebus sabaeus (green monkey)
Lineage: Eukaryota; Metazoa; Chordata; Mammalia; Primates; Cercopithecidae
Source: Rfam by way of RNAcentral
GCCAGGCAUGGUGGUGCAUGCCUGUAAUCCCAGCUACUUAGGAGGCUGAGGUAGGAGAAUCGCUUGAACCCAGGAGGUGGAGGUUGUGGUGAGCCAAGAUUGCGCCACUGCACUGCACUCCAGCCUGGAUAACAGAGCAAGACCUUGUCUCAU